CACAUUGCCAAAUUCUAUCAGUAAUCUAAAGCAUCUCAGAUUUCUCAACCUCAAUCACAAUAAGAGGAUAAAGAAACUUCCAAAUUCAAUAUGCAAGUUGUUUCAUCUGCAAACGUUGUGGCUUAUCGGAUGUAAGGGAUUCGAGAAUCUGCCCAAGGAAUUUGGGAACCUCAUCAAUUUGAGGAAUUUACAGAUCACCACGAAACGGAGGGCUUUGACAGGGAUAGGACGCCUGGAAUCUCUUCGUAUUUUACAUAUUGACCAAUGUGAAAAUCUAGAAUUUCUGCUUCAAGGGACGCAAAGCCUCACUGCCCUUUGGUCAUUGCGUAUUGGCAGUUGUAGGAGUUUGGAGACUUUGUCACCUAGCUUGAAACAACUGCCCUCGUUAGAGCAUCUCGUGAUUUUCAAUUGCGAAGGGCUCAAUUCACUGGAUGGAAAUGGGGAAGACCACGUUCCAGGGCUCGAGAAUCUACGAGUUUUGAUUCUUACAAAAUUACCAAAGUUGGAGGCACUGCCAGUGUGCAGCCUCACAUCCCUUGACAAACUUAUGAUUAGAGAAUGCCCUCAAUUGACUGAAAGAUGCAAGAAAACAACAGGGGAGGAUUGGCAUAAAAUCUCUCAUGUCUCAGAGAUAUAUAUUGAUGGCGUCAAAACACCAGAAAAUUAAGCAAGGGAAUCAGAAUAAGCCACCCAAAUCUCCUGAAAUAGAGGUGAAUAUGCUAGUGGUUUUCAUCAGCGAUGGUCCGAUGGAGAGAACCACCAUGGGCUCAGGUUCAACGGCUAAAAGGUGUGGUGUUGUAACAGGGGCCGACAAAGGAAUAGGAUUGGAGGGAUUUUGGUCAUAUUAACUGCUAGAGAUGAGAAAAGGGGUAUUGAAGCUGUCAAAAAUCUGAAAGCAGCUGGACUCUCUGAUGUGGUUUUUCAUCACCUUGAUGUAAAAGACCCUGCCAGCAUUGCUUCAUUGGCAAAAUUUAUUGAAACCCAUUGCAGAAAAUUACAAAUCCUGUGUUUUCAGGUGUAUUUUCAUCUUCGUAUGAUAGAUUCAGAAUGAGGGAACCAUUGACGAUCGUUGAGAUUUGGCUGAACAAACGUGGAGAAAGCUUGUGAAAAUAGAAGAUUCUCACAGCUGUGUAGUUCUGUAUAACAGUGCACAAGGGUCUACAUAAGCUCAAUUCAGUUGUGCUCAUGCAGAAGUUUGCACACACCCUCAGUUACCAAGUCUGUGUACUUGGGAGCCUCUUCGAGUCUGCAAAGGCAGACCUGCAGACCAACCAGUUGCCACUCUCCUGCAAAUUAAGUUAUUUCUAAUAUGGAAUAUUUAGAAAGCAUUAAAACACCAGUGAGACAUCAUUCCAUAGAGAGAUCUUCUUCUACCUUCAUCGCCAUUGCAGCUAUCUCUCAUUAAUUUGUGCUUUUAUUUUCCAGUUUUCUUUAUGAUUUGUAGUUGAGUGUUUCAGUUUGGAUUUGGUAAACUAUCUUCAGUUCAUAGUUCUGAUGUAAGCUUUCUUAGCUGUAGUAGGCCUUGAUUAUCAUUUCAGCAUUUGAGUACUCUUA
Long non-coding RNA from Vitis vinifera (wine grape), 1554 nucleotides. RefSeq lists it as uncharacterized. The record is from RefSeq and is a predicted model, not a curated record. The transcript is spliced from 4 exons. NCBI's taxonomy places the organism in Eukaryota, Viridiplantae, Streptophyta, Magnoliopsida, Vitales, Vitaceae.